Long non-coding RNA from Myotis lucifugus (little brown bat), 356 nucleotides. RefSeq lists it as uncharacterized. The record is from RefSeq and is a predicted model, not a curated record. Lineage: Eukaryota; Metazoa; Chordata; Mammalia; Chiroptera; Vespertilionidae. The transcript has 3 exons.
GGCCGGUGUGCACGGUGGGGGAGCCCGCGGGGCCGCCUGCAGGGAGCCGGAGGGGGCUGGCGAGGCUGCGCGACGUCAAGACCAGCCGACCUGGGAGACAGCGCGGGAGCAGGGACCCCUGAAAGCACGCGUCGCCCCGCAGGGGGCGCAGCCGGUGGCUGGCUGGUUGGUGGGAGCACCCAAAGGAUGUUACUUGAGAAAACAAGAAAGUUAUCCAAGAAAUUGGAACCGGUUGGCUCUAUGAACUGUGGAACUAACUCAGAAAAGCAAUGAAGGUCAAAUAGAGGAAAGAACACAACACAUUCUACUGAAUACGCAGUGGCUCAAGGAGAUCAGUCAGGACAGCAUAGAGCAGU